UCCCUUGUAGCUCAGUCGGUAAAGAAUCUGCCUGCAAUGCAGGAGAACUGGAUUCGAUUCCUAGAUUGGGAA
Molecule: transfer RNA, 72 nt
Filed under: Bos taurus (domestic cattle)
Lineage: Eukaryota; Metazoa; Chordata; Mammalia; Artiodactyla; Bovidae
Also listed under: 1 other name
Rfam family: tRNA
About the family: Transfer RNA (tRNA) molecules are approximately 80 nucleotides in length. Their secondary structure includes four short double-helical elements and three loops (D, anti-codon, and T loops).
Source: Rfam by way of RNAcentral